RNAcentral lists this ribosomal RNA (414 nucleotides) under uncultured bacterium. RNAcentral describes it as "bacterial SSU rRNA". It matches the Rfam family "Bacterial small subunit ribosomal RNA", at positions 355 to 787 of the family's 1533-position model. The record is from RNAcentral.
UGGGGAAUAUUGGGCAAUGGGGGAAACCCUGACCCAGCGACGCCGCGUGAGGGAAGAAGGUUUUCGGAUUGUAAACCUCUGUCCUUGGUGACGUUAAUGACGGUAGCCAAGGAGGAAGCCACGGCUAACUACGUGCCAGCAGCCGCGGUAAUACGUAGGUGGCGAGCGUUGUCCGGAAUUACUGGGUGUAAAGGGAGCGUAGGCGGGAGAGCAAGUCGACUGUGAAAGCUAUGGGCUUAACCCAUAGAUGCGAUCGAAACUGUUCAUCUUGAGUGAAGUAGAGGCAGGCGGAAUUCCUAGUGUAGCGGUGAAAUGCGUAAAUAUUAGGAGGAACACCAGUGGCGAAGGCGGCCUGCUGGGCUUUAACUGACGCUGAGGCUCGAAAGCGUGGGUAGCAAACAGGAUUAGAUACCC